This 410-nucleotide ribosomal RNA is filed under the name uncultured bacterium. RNAcentral describes it as "bacterial SSU rRNA". It matches the Rfam family "Bacterial small subunit ribosomal RNA", at positions 370 to 772 of the family's 1533-position model. The record is from RNAcentral.
AAUGGGGGAAACCCUGAUCCAGCGACGCCGCGUGGGUGAAGAAGGCCUGCGGGUUGUAAAGCCCUUUCGGUAGGGACGAAAACUCUUGCUCUAACAGAGCAGGAGCUUGACUUAACCUACAUAAGAAGCACCGGCUAACUCUGUGCCAGCAGCCGCGGUAAUACAGAGGGUGCGAGCGUUAAUCGGAAUUACUGGGCGUAAAGCGCACGUAGUCGGCUUGUCAAGUCGGGUGUGAAAUCCCCGGGCUCAACCUGGGAACUGCAUCCGAAACUGACUUGCUAGAGUAUGGGAGAGGGAAGCGGAAUUUCUGGUGUAGCAGUGAAAUGCGUAGAUAUCAGAAGGAACAUCAGUGGCGAAGGCGGCUUCCUGGACCAAUACUGACGAUCAGGUGCGAAAGCGUGGGGAGCAAA